Molecule: ribosomal RNA, 400 nt
Filed under: uncultured bacterium
Lineage: Bacteria
Description: bacterial SSU rRNA
Rfam family: Archaeal small subunit ribosomal RNA
Source: RNAcentral
GCGCGAAAACUUUACAAUGCGAGAAAUCGUGAUAAGGGAACCCCGAGUGCCCGUAAAUUCGGGCUGUCCAUCAGUGUAAAUAACUGGUGAAGAAAGGGCCGGGCAAGACCGGUGCCAGCCGCCGCGGUAAUACCGGCGGCUCGAGUGGUGGCCGCUAUUACUGGGCUUAAAGCGUCCGUAGCUGGGUUGUUAAGUCUCCUGGGAAAUCUACCGGCUCAACCGAUGGGCGUUCAGGAGAUACUGGCAACCUAGGGACCGGGAGAGGUGAGGGGUACUCCAGGGGUAGGAGUGAAAUCCUGUAAUCCUUGGGGGACCACCUGUGGCGAAGGCGUCUCACCAGAACCGGCUCCGACAGUGAGGCGAAAGCUGGGGGAGCAAACCGGAUUAGAGACCCUGGUAG